Unclassified non-coding RNA from Macaca nemestrina (pig-tailed macaque), 298 nucleotides. Its record names the gene 7SK. It matches the Rfam family "7SK RNA". Rfam says of the family: 7SK was discovered as an abundant small nuclear RNA in the mid-70s but a possible function has only recently been suggested. Two independent studies have found that 7SK RNA binds the CDK9/cyclin T complex (known as elongation factor P-TEFb). NCBI's taxonomy places the organism in Eukaryota, Metazoa, Chordata, Mammalia, Primates, Cercopithecidae. The record is from Ensembl.
AGAUGUGAGGGCGAUCUGGCUGCAACAUCUGUCACCCCAUUGGUCACCAGGGCUAAUUCAGCUGGUCUGGCUGUCUGGGCAAUUGUACCUCUUGAAUCUGUACUCUCAGCGGAAGAGGACGGCUUUCCCUGAUGAAGGAGGAGGGUUUCUAGGUCAAGGGUAUGUGAGUAGCUGCACUCCCCUGCUAGAACCUCCAAACAAGCUCUCAAGCUAGGCUCUGAGUGUCAAGAGUUUUAUCAGCUCAUCCUAUACUCAGAUGACACUGCAUCACAAACAUGUUUUUGUGAAAUGAAAUGUG